This 564-nucleotide long non-coding RNA is filed under the name Homo sapiens (human). RNAcentral's name for it is "non-protein coding lnc-XPC-9:3". The record is from RNAcentral. Lineage: Eukaryota; Metazoa; Chordata; Mammalia; Primates; Hominidae.
GGGUGGCUUCCCAGCACCCACUGUGUGGUGGGGUGGAGAGCCUCGGCUGGGGUUCACGGGGCUGUGCUCUCAUCUCCCCAGCCUUGUCUUCAACUCCCUUUUCCUCGCCGACCUUGAACCACGCCUUUUCCUGCAACAACCCCAGCACCCUUCCCCGUGGAUCCCAGCCCAUGAGUCCUCGAACUACAAUGGGGCGGAGGAGGCAGCGAAGAAGGGAACACAAGAGCUCGUUGUCGCUAGCCUCCAGCACGGUGGGGCCGGGCGGGCAGAUUGUGCACACGGAGACCACGGAGGUCGUGCUCUGUGGAGACCCCCUCAGCGGCUUUGGCCUCCAGCUCCAGGGCGGCAUCUUCGCCACCGAGACCCUGUCCUCCCCACCCCUCGUGUGCUUCAUCGAGCCUGACAGUCCGGCUGAGAGGUGUGGGCUGCUGCAGGUGGGGGACCGUGUCCUGUCCAUCAAUGGCAUUGCCACCGAGGACGGGACUAUGGAGGAAGCCAACCAGCUCCUGCGGGACGCCGCACUGGCCCACAAGGUCGUGCUGGAGGUGGAGUUCGAUGUGGCGG